UUCCUUGGCUUAUAAUGUCUGAGACUCCUCACCAUGAUCCCUAGAAAGCCUCCAGGAGAUCCACCGAAAGAAACAAAAGAAUCCAAGCCAAAGUCCUCUUCUAAAGCUUCCUCAUCCAAGCAAAAAUCUUCAAGCAAAUCCCAAAUUCUUGUUUUAAGCCAACCAAAAACCACCCCUCAAAGCCCUAUGGUUUCCUGGAAAACUUUAUUCUAGAGGGAAAUAGAUCAAUUACAAAGACCUUCAACUUCACAAAUUUCGAAACUACCAGAAAGCCAAAUACAGGAAUGGUUAGCAGAUCUCGUCAACCAUCUUGAACUUUGCCAAGUCCUAAGGGAGUCCCUUCCUGAAGGACCCCAUAAAGAUGUGGUUACUGAUGUUUGUUUAAAGAACUUUGAGAAAGAGAUUGUUUUACACAAACCAAAACCUCUUUCUUAGCAAAAAACUGUUUCUCAAAUUGAUUUAGCUCCAAAAAUUAUCUCUUUAAUAGAUCUAACUU
This 496-nucleotide unclassified non-coding RNA is filed under the name Hevea brasiliensis (rubber tree). Lineage: Eukaryota; Viridiplantae; Streptophyta; Magnoliopsida; Malpighiales; Euphorbiaceae. The record is from RNAcentral.